RNAcentral lists this ribosomal RNA (483 nucleotides) under uncultured bacterium. RNAcentral describes it as "SSU rRNA". It matches the Rfam family "Bacterial small subunit ribosomal RNA", at positions 26 to 496 of the family's 1533-position model. The record is from RNAcentral.
AGAACGAACGCUGGCGGCGUGGAUAAGACAUGCAAGUCGAACGCUGACUUUCAGGUAGCAAUAUUUGGAGGUCGGAGUGGCGCAAGGGUGUGUAACACGUGGGUAAUCUGCCGUGAAGACUGGAAUAACUCGCUGAAAGGCGAGCUAAUACCGGAUGUGAAUGUAAAUUCAAAGUUGGGGACCGCAAGGCCUGACGCUUUACGAUGAGCCCGCGGCCUAUCAGCUAGUUGGUGAGGUAACGGCUCACCAAGGCUAAGACGGGUAGCUGGUCUGAGAGGACGACCAGCCACACUGGAACUGAGACACGGUCCAGACACCUACGGGUGGCAGCAGUCGAGAAUUUUUCACAAUGGACGAAAGUCUGAUGGAGCGACGCCGCGUGGAGGAUGAAGGUUCUUGGAUUGUAAACUCCUGUCACUGCAGAACAAGGAUACGUUUGUGAAUAGCACGCGUAUUUGAUGGUAUGCGGAGAGGAAGGGACGG